UACGAAGGGGGCUAGCGUUGUUCGGAAUUACUGGGCGUAAAGCGCACGUAGGCGGGUAUUUAAGUCAGGGGUGAAAUCCUGGAGCUCAACUCCAGAACUGCCUUUGAUACUGAAGAUCUUGAGUUCGGGAGAGGUGAGUGGAACUGCGAGUGUAGAGGUGAAAUUCGUAGAUAUUCGCAAGAACACCAGUGGCGAAGGCGGCUCACUGGCCCGAUACUGACGCUGAGGCACGAAAGCGUGGGGAGCAAACAGG
RNAcentral lists this ribosomal RNA (253 nucleotides) under uncultured bacterium. Its description in RNAcentral is "partial 16S ribosomal RNA". It matches the Rfam family "Bacterial small subunit ribosomal RNA", at positions 524 to 776 of the family's 1533-position model. The record is from RNAcentral.